RNAcentral lists this ribosomal RNA (1100 nucleotides) under uncultured bacterium. RNAcentral's name for it is "bacterial SSU rRNA". It matches the Rfam family "Bacterial small subunit ribosomal RNA", at positions 358 to 1502 of the family's 1533-position model. The record is from RNAcentral.
GGGAUCUAGACAAUGGGCGGCAGCUGAUCUAGCAUGCGCGUGUGUGAUGAAGGUCUAGGAUCGUAAAGCACUUUCGCCAGGGAUGAUAAUGACAGUACCUGGUAAAGAAACCCCGGCUAACUCCGUGCCAGCAGCCGCGGUAAUACGGAGGGGGUUAGCGUUGUUCGGAAUUACUGGGCGUAAAGCGUACGUAGGCGGAUCAGAAAGUUGGGGGUGAAAUCCCGGGGCUCAACCCCGGAACUGCCUCCAAAACUCCUGGUCUUGAGUUCGAGAGAGGUGAGUGGAAUUCCAAGUGUAGAGGUGAAAUUCGUAGAUAUUUGGAGGAACACCAGUGGCGAAGGCGGCUCACUGGCUCGAUACUGACGCUGAGGUACGAAAGUGUGGGGAGCGAACAGGAUUAGAUACCCUGGUAGUCCACACCGUAAACGAUGAAUGCCAGUCGUCGGGCAGUAUACUGUUCGGUGACACACCUAACGGAUUAAGCAUUCCGCCUGGGGAGUACGGUCGCAAGAUUAAAACUCAAAGGAAUAAUUAAACCACAUGCUCCACGGCUUGUGCGGGCCCCCGUCACGAAGCAACGCGCAGAACCUUACCAACCCUUGACAUCCCGUGCUAACCCGAGAGAUCGGGCGUCCACUUCGGUGGCGCAGUGACAGGUGCUGCAUGGCUGUCGUCAGCUCGUGUCGUGAGAUGUUCGGUUAAGUCCGGCAACGAGCGCAACCCACAUCCUUAGUUGCCAGCAGUUCGGCUGGGCACUCUAAGGAAACUGCCCGUGAUAAGCGGGAGGAAGGUGUGGAUGACGUCAAGUCCUCAUGGCCCUUACGGGUUGGGCUACACACGUGCUACAAUGGCAGUGACAAUGGGUUAAUCCCCAAAAGCUGUCUCAGUUCGGAUUGGGGUCUGCAACUCGACCCCAUGAAGUCGGAAUCGCUAGUAAUCGUGGAACAGCAUGCCACGGUGAAUACGUUCCCGGGCCUUGUACACACCGCCCGUCACACCAUGGGAGUUGGUUCUACCCGACGGCCGUGCGCCAACCUUUCGAGGAGGCAGCGGACCACGGUAGGAUCAGCGACUGGGGUGAAGUCGUAACAAGGUAACCA